Molecule: long non-coding RNA, 326 nt
Organism: Nicotiana attenuata
Lineage: Eukaryota; Viridiplantae; Streptophyta; Magnoliopsida; Solanales; Solanaceae
Exons: 2
Source: RefSeq, a predicted model, not a curated record
AGCACACAAACGCUAUCUUCAAAAGUUCCGAUCUCUCUCUCCCAAAAAGCCUUCAUCAGUUCGCCGGAGAUUACGAGGAAGACAAAGCACCAUCGGCGGCACCGAUCCAAGCGUUGGAACCAGCUGAGGCCUGUCCGUAGUUGCCAUAAGCUCUUGAGAGAGGAGGUAGAGUUGCAUUUCGACCGCAGUCUUUGACGUAUUUUUCCAUUUCAGUAACUAUUAUUGUUAUUUAAACAGUGUUUUUAUUUCGUAUUUUUAGAGUUGUAUUUCUAGUGUUUUUAUUGACUGUUCUUGGGAUGUUAUGUAUUGACAAAGUAUAUUUAUGA